GCAGGCUGCAACUCGCCUGCAUGAAGUUGGAGUUGCUAGUAAUCGCGGAUCAGAAUGCCGCGGUGAAUGCGUUCCCGGGUCUUGUACACACCGCCCGUCACACCACGGAAGUUGGGGGUGCCCAAAGUUGGCAGGAUAAUAUGUUACCUAAGGCAAAACCGAUGACUGGGGUGAAGUCGUAACAAGGUAGC
This 191-nucleotide ribosomal RNA is filed under the name uncultured bacterium. RNAcentral describes it as "partial 16S ribosomal RNA". It matches the Rfam family "Bacterial small subunit ribosomal RNA", at positions 1300 to 1500 of the family's 1533-position model. The record is from RNAcentral.